GACGAACGCUGGCGGCGUGCUUAACACAUGCAAGUCGAACGGAAAGGCCCUGCUUUUGUGGGGUGCUCGAGUGGCGAAAGGGUGAGUAACACGUGAGUAACCUGCCCUUGACUUUGGGAUAACUUCAGGAAACUGGGGCUAAUACCGGAUAGGAGCUCCUGCUGCCUGGUGGGGGUUGGAAAGUUUCGGCGGUUGGGGAUGGACUCGCGGCUUAUCAGCUAGUUGGUGGGGUAGUGGCUUACCAAGGCUUUGACGGGUAGCCGGCCUGAGAGGGUGACCGGCCACAUUGGGACUGAGAUACGGCCCAGACUCCUACGGGAGGCAGCAGUGGGGAAUAUUGCACAAUGGGCGGAAGCCUGAUGCAGCAACGCCGCGUGCGGGAUGACGGCCUUCGGGUUGUAAACCGCUUUCGCCUGUGACGAAGCGUGAGUGACGGUAAUGGGUAAAGAAGCACCGGCUAACUACGUG
This 468-nucleotide ribosomal RNA is filed under the name uncultured bacterium. Its description in RNAcentral is "partial 16S ribosomal RNA". It matches the Rfam family "Bacterial small subunit ribosomal RNA", at positions 28 to 507 of the family's 1533-position model. The record is from RNAcentral.